GACGAACGCUGGCGGCGUGCUUAACACAUGCAAGUCGUACGGUAAGGCCCGUUCCUUGGUACACGAGUGUCGACCGCGUACGUAAGACUUAAGUAAGCUGCCCACAACUUUGAGAUAGGGCUAAGAAACUGGAACUAAUACUAGUAAUGUAUUACAUCUUCAUACGGAGGGUUGAAAAGCUCCGGCGGUUUUUGCUGUACUCGCGGCCUAUCAGCUUGUUGGUUGGGUAGUGGCCUACCAAGACGGCGACGGGUAGCCUGCCUGAGAGGGUGACCGGCGACCCAGGGACUGAGAUACGGCGCAGACUGGUACGGGCGGCAGAAGUGGGGAAUAUUGCCGAAUGGGCGCAAGCCUGAUGAAGAAGGGCUGCGUGCGGGAUGACGGCUUUAUGGUGGUAAACCGCGUUCAGAAGGGACGAAGCUUUUUGUGACGGUACCUAAAGAAGAAGCAACGGCUAACUACGUG
RNAcentral lists this ribosomal RNA (465 nucleotides) under uncultured bacterium. RNAcentral describes it as "partial 16S ribosomal RNA". It matches the Rfam family "Bacterial small subunit ribosomal RNA", at positions 28 to 507 of the family's 1533-position model. The record is from RNAcentral.